CCUACGGGAGGCUGCAGUAGGGAAUCUUCCACAAUGGGCGAAAGCCUGAUGGAGCAACGCCGCGUGGGUGAAGAAGGUCUUCGGAUCGUAAAACCCUGUUGUUAGAGAAGAAAGUGCGUGAGCGUAACUGUUCACGUUUCGACGGUAUCUAACCAGAUAGCCACGGCGAACUACGGGCCAGCAGCAGCGGUAAUACGUAGGUGGCAAGCGUUAUCCGGUUUUAUUGGGGGUAAAGGGAACGCAGGCGGUCUUUUAAGGCUGAUGUGAAAGCCUUCGGCUUAACCGGAGUAGUGCAUUGGAAACUGGGAGACUUGAGUGCGGAAGAGGAGAGUGGAACUCGAUGUGUAGCGGUGAAAUGCGUAGAUAUAUGGAAGAACACCGGUGGCGAAGGCAGCUCGCUGGUCUGUAACUGACGCUGAGGUUCGAAAGCGUGGGUAGCAAACAGGAUUAGAUACCCCAGUAGUC
This 465-nucleotide ribosomal RNA is filed under the name uncultured bacterium. Its description in RNAcentral is "partial 16S ribosomal RNA". It matches the Rfam family "Bacterial small subunit ribosomal RNA", at positions 338 to 795 of the family's 1533-position model. The record is from RNAcentral.